AUGCAUUCGACAUCAACAAGACAACAACCUACGCGCAAAGAAAAAGAGGAAGACAAAGAAGAUUACAGCACUGGACCGUUGAAGGUUUCUUGCCACGGUCGACGACUUAGACCGUCGUUGGUGAAGAGCAAGCACGUGCAUGGUGAUCACGACCGGCCGGCGACGACGAACGUGCCCGGACUCAACAAGUGGUACCCGUGGCGCUGUUGUUGUUGGUGGUGGCCCCUGCCGGCGAAGCGAGCGCAGCUGGGCGACGACGCGACGCCGCCGCCCUGCUCCAUCUCCCACAUGACCUCCAUGAAAUCAUCGACGGCACAUGGCAGCUCGAGCGGGCCGACGCAGCCGGCGAAGCCGUACUCCGUCUCGGCCUCGUCCAGCAGCGCCCGGAACAGGGGGUGGUUUGCGCACCUGGCGCGCACCGCGAACCGCUCCUUCUCUGGCCCCACGAGCACGGCGAAGUACCCCGCCGGAACGGCCCACGCCGCCCUGCCAUCGGCCGCGCGUGGCGAGGCCGGGGCGCUGGCGCUGCUGCCAGCGCCGCCACCGCCGUAG
This 552-nucleotide ribosomal RNA is filed under the name Triticum aestivum (bread wheat). RNAcentral's name for it is "partial small subunit ribosomal RNA". The record is from RNAcentral. Lineage: Eukaryota; Viridiplantae; Streptophyta; Magnoliopsida; Poales; Poaceae.